Long non-coding RNA from Cloeon dipterum, 262 nucleotides. RefSeq lists it as uncharacterized. The record is from RefSeq and is a predicted model, not a curated record. NCBI's taxonomy places the organism in Eukaryota, Metazoa, Arthropoda, Insecta, Ephemeroptera, Baetidae. The transcript has 4 exons.
AAAAUUAACAGUUUGGAAAUUGUUCAAAAAGGACUCACGGCGUCCAUGCUUAACGGGGCUGCCGUCUUGAAAACGUCAGAUUCUAAUUCACUGUUUCCUUUUUUGUGCGAGCCAAAAGGUGAUUUUCAAGACUCUUGCCUCGCUCUUAAGUGCAACAAAGUCAGCACAUUCUUUGACGCAAACGGGAAUAUUAAGGAUGGAGAAAAGUAUGAGAAAUGGACACGCACCUGCGACAUAUUGUUCCUUUUUUCUGGCAAGCUUG